This 627-nucleotide ribosomal RNA is filed under the name Sphingobacterium multivorum. RNAcentral's name for it is "bacterial SSU rRNA". It matches the Rfam family "Bacterial small subunit ribosomal RNA", at positions 199 to 826 of the family's 1533-position model. Lineage: Bacteria; Pseudomonadati; Bacteroidota; Sphingobacteriia; Sphingobacteriales; Sphingobacteriaceae. The record is from RNAcentral.
GAUUAAAUAUUUAUAGGAUAGAGAUGGGCUCGCGUGACAUUAGCUAGUUGGUAGGGUAACGGCUUACCAAGGCGACGAUGUCUAGGGGCUCUGAGAGGAGAAUCCCCCACACUGGUACUGAGACACGGACCAGACUCCUACGGGAGGCAGCAGUAAGGAAUAUUGGUCAAUGGGCGGAAGCCUGAACCAGCCAUGCCGCGUGCAGGAUGACUGCCCUAUGGGUUGUAAACUGCUUUUGUCCAGGAAUAAACCUAAAUACGUGUAUUUAGCUGAAUGUACUGGAAGAAUAAGGAUCGGCUAACUCCGUGCCAGCAGCCGCGGUAAUACGGAGGAUCCGAGCGUUAUCCGGAUUUAUUGGGUUUAAAGGGUGCGUAGGCGGCCUAUUAAGUCAGGGGUGAAAUACGGUGGCUCAACCAUCGCAGUGCCUUUGAUACUGAUGGGCUUGAAUCCAUUUGAAGUGGGCGGAAUAAGACAAGUAGCGGUGAAAUGCAUAGAUAUGUCUUAGAACUCCGAUUGCGAAGGCAGCUCACUAAGCUGGUAUUGACGCUGAUGCACGAAAGCGUGGGGAUCGAACAGGAUUAGAUACCCUGGUAGUCCACGCCCUAAACGAUGAUAACUCGAUGUUGG